RNAcentral lists this ribosomal RNA (253 nucleotides) under uncultured bacterium. Its description in RNAcentral is "partial 16S ribosomal RNA". It matches the Rfam family "Bacterial small subunit ribosomal RNA", at positions 524 to 776 of the family's 1533-position model. The record is from RNAcentral.
UACAGAGGGUGCGAGCGUUAAUCGGAAUAACUGGGCGUAAAGGGCGCGUAGGUGGUUUAUUAAGAUGCAUGUGAAAUCCCUGGGCUUAACCUAGGAAUGGCAUGGAUGACUGAUAAGCUAGAGUCUAGAAGAAGGUAGUGGAAUUUCCGGUGUAGCGGUGAAAUGCGUAGAGAUCGGAAGGAACAUCAGUGGCGAAGGCGUCUACCUAGACAAAGACUGACACUGAGGCGCGAAAGCGUGGGUAGCAAACAGG